Molecule: long non-coding RNA, 103 nt
Organism: Perognathus longimembris pacificus (Pacific pocket mouse)
Lineage: Eukaryota; Metazoa; Chordata; Mammalia; Rodentia; Heteromyidae
Exons: 3
Source: RefSeq, a predicted model, not a curated record
UAUGGCAUACAUAGUAUGGGUUGGGGCUUCUUAUGUGAUUCCUAUGUCCAUCUACUAUGUUUGUUUGUUUUGAUACCAUUUACAGCUAUGUUAAUACAACUAC